GAUGAACACUGGCGGCGUGCUUAACACAUGCAAGUCGAACGAAGCACCUUAUUCUGAUUUCUUCGGAAUGAAAAAUUUGGUGACUGAGUGGCGGACGGGUGAGUAACGCGUGGGUAACCUGCCUCAUACAGGGGGAUAACAGUUAGAAAUGACUGCCAAUACCGCAUAAGACCACAGCACCGCAUGGUGCAGGGGUAAAAACUCCGGUGGUAUGAGAUGGACCCGCGUCUGAGUAGGUAGUUGGUGGGGUAACGGCCUACCAAGCCGACGAUCAGUAGCCGACCUGGGAGGGGGACCGGCCACAUUGGGACUGAGACACGGCCCAAACGCCUACGGUAGGCAGCAGUGGGGAAUAUUGCACAAUGGGGGAAACCCUGAUGCAGUGACGCCGCGUGAGCGAUGAAGUAUUUCGGUAUGUAAAGCUCUAUCAGCAGGGAAGAAAAUGACGGUACCUGACUAAGAAGCACCGGCUAAAUACGUGCCAGCCGCCGCGGUAA
RNAcentral lists this ribosomal RNA (497 nucleotides) under uncultured bacterium. RNAcentral describes it as "partial 16S ribosomal RNA". It matches the Rfam family "Bacterial small subunit ribosomal RNA", at positions 28 to 523 of the family's 1533-position model. The record is from RNAcentral.